GACAGAGGGGGCAAGCGUUGCUCGGAAUCACUGGGCUUAAAGCGUGUGUAGGCGGACGCCUAAGUGUCUUGUGAAAUCCCACGGCUCACCCGUGGAACUGCUGGGCAUACUGGGCGUCUUGGGCCAACUAGGGGCAGCCGGAACAAGCGGUGGAGCGGUGAAAUGCGUAGAUAUCGCUUGGAACGCCGAAGGUGAAAACAGGCUGCUGGGGUUGUGCCGACGCUGAGACACGAAAGCCAGGGGAGCAAACGGG
Molecule: ribosomal RNA, 253 nt
Filed under: uncultured bacterium
Lineage: Bacteria
Description: partial 16S ribosomal RNA
Rfam family: Bacterial small subunit ribosomal RNA
Source: RNAcentral